CCCUAUCAAACUUUACUUUAGUUUAACUGGGGCAGUUAAUUAAUAAAAAUUUUAAUAAAGAUUAAGUACUAAAUAGANNNCCCAACANUAGUUGAUUACANUGAACAAGUUACUGUAGGGAUAACAGCGUAAUAUAUAUCUAAAGUUCUUAUUUUGAUAUAAGUUUGCGACCUCGAUGUUGAAUUNAUAUUACUUUCAAGCGCAAGAGCCUGAAAAGUGGGUCUGUUCGACCCCUAAAUAUAUACAUGAUUUGAGUUCAAAUCGGUGUAAACCAGAUUGGUUUCUAUCUAUUNUUAUUUGUGUCUUAGUACGAAAGGACCUGAAACAAUAUUAUACAAUNAUUUAUAUGGCAGAAAAAUGCUUUAGAUUUAGAAUCUAACUAUAAUAGAUUAUUAUACUCUAUUUAACUUGCUUAAUCUCUGUUAUUAGAAUCCUUAUCGCAGUAGCUUUUUAUACCCUCCUAGAGCGAAAAAUUCUAAGCUACAUCCAAAUUU
RNAcentral lists this ribosomal RNA (494 nucleotides) under Sancus acoreensis. RNAcentral describes it as "partial 16S ribosomal RNA". The stretch from base 1 to 288 matches the Rfam family "Bacterial large subunit ribosomal RNA", at positions 2089 to 2642 of the family's 2925-position model. The record is from RNAcentral. Lineage: Eukaryota; Metazoa; Arthropoda; Arachnida; Araneae; Tetragnathidae.